RNAcentral lists this ribosomal RNA (354 nucleotides) under Shigella flexneri. RNAcentral's name for it is "partial 23S ribosomal RNA". It matches the Rfam family "Bacterial large subunit ribosomal RNA", at positions 2463 to 2816 of the family's 2925-position model. The record is from RNAcentral. Lineage: Bacteria; Pseudomonadati; Pseudomonadota; Gammaproteobacteria; Enterobacterales; Enterobacteriaceae.
GUACUCCGGGGAUAACAGGCUGAUACCGCCCAAGAGUUCAUAUCGACGGCGGUGUUUGGCACCUCGAUGUCGGCUCAUCACAUCCUGGGGCUGAAGUAGGUCCCAAGGGUAUGGCUGUUCGCCAUUUAAAGUGGUACGCGAGCUGGGUUUAGAACGUCGUGAGACAGUUCGGUCCCUAUCUGCCGUGGGCGCUGGAGAACUGAGGGGGGCUGCUCCUAGUACGAGAGGACCGGAGUGGACGCAUCACUGGUGUUCGGGUUGUCAUGCCAAUGGCACUGCCCGGUAGCUAAAUGCGGAAGAGAUAAGUGCUGAAAGCAUCUAAGCACGAAACUUGCCCCGAGAUGAGUUCUCCCU